UUUCUCUCGUAAUUUCAUAAAUCCAAACUAUCGUUCAAUCGUAUACAAUUAUGCUCCAUUCGUUUCCACGGUUAAAUCCACGGUUGACAAGAUUAAACUCGCUUUCAGCGAGUUUCCACGUACUUGUUGCCAAGUUUGCGGCCUGUAUGAACACCUGUAAACCGAUAGUUGCGCCACCAUUUUUCCAUUGGCCACUUGCUCGAAACGUAUAACGUUCGCGAUUAUCGUUGUUCGACCACGUUUCGUAAUAUCGGAUUCACGUAACGAGAGAUUCAUUUUUGAUUGAUUAAUUUUAAGUCAUUAAUCGACCAUUAAGAACAAAGGCGGUAAAUAUAUAGAUGCUAUGCAGAGCAAAAUAAUCGAUUUAUUUUCAUAUAUGUCGAUGGAAAUUAUUUCAAUGGGACGAAUGAUAUUUCUUCUGUUUCCUUUAAUAAUAGAACUAAGGCAAACUAUAAUGGACAAAAAAAAUUAAAAAAAAAUGAAAGACGUUAACAGAAUAUACAGAAAUUAUGUACACGAUAAACAAAACUGAGAACAAACAUCUGGCAGAGAAGGCUCGAAAAACAAAUCAUGUAUCCUUAUCUAUGCUUACGAAACAAGAAAAGUCUAGAGCUAUAG
Long non-coding RNA from Apis dorsata (giant honeybee), 618 nucleotides. RefSeq lists it as uncharacterized. Lineage: Eukaryota; Metazoa; Arthropoda; Insecta; Hymenoptera; Apidae. The record is from RefSeq and is a predicted model, not a curated record. The transcript is spliced from 2 exons.